Oryzias melastigma (Indian medaka) is the source of this 576-nucleotide long non-coding RNA. RefSeq lists it as uncharacterized. Lineage: Eukaryota; Metazoa; Chordata; Actinopteri; Beloniformes; Adrianichthyidae. The record is from RefSeq and is a predicted model, not a curated record. The transcript is spliced from 2 exons.
GUCAUGUCACUGCAAAUCAUUUUCAGCUUCAGUUAGUGCUUCUUUCAGCAUCUUUACCCAAUUUUAUCCUCCUCUACGAGCUGAUCUACAUUCUUCUCUUUUUCCUCUUCUGUAUUCAGGACAUUCUUUUAUUGCACACGGACAUGGCGUGCUGGAGGGAAGGUCAGUGCUGUUGUGGUCAUCCAGGGGCCGAUUUUGUGCUGCAUCAUGGGACUCGUGCAGCAGGACAUGACAAGGUCUCCAACCUCCGGAACCGGAACUGGUCCAGUAUCAGGACGCGGAGCAUACGGGUGCGCAGUUCUGGUUCGGGUCCAGUAUCAGAUCUAAUACUGGUACCGGUACCCAGACCCAGCACCACAUGCAUUUUGAGGACCAGUCUGCAUCCAGUAUGGCAUUCGGUACCGAGUCCUGAUGGUUGCAGACCCUUGAUUUACAAACAGUCAGCACGUCAAUUGCUAUUGGCUGAUGGUGAACCACAUGACUGUGUUGCAUUAAACAUAUGAGAACUGUUUCUUUUUUUUCACAGUAUUGCAUAAAAUACCUAAAUAAAUGAAAUAAAAACAUUUUAAAAUAAAA